AUGCCUCGGAAAGGUAGGAGAUCCCAGGCUCAAAAAGUUUGUUGGAGAAAGUUAGACCUGACAGGACAGACGAGCAUCAGUAAAGGUGUUGCUCAGGUUUCUGAUGGACAGCAGUACGAAGAUGGCAACAACACAUCUAGAAUUCUAUCCGUGCAGGCGUCUCAUUGCCAGAGUGAUGCAAGGUAUGAUGUUUUCUCACGAAAUCAUCAGUGCACGUGUGUAGCUCUGACAUUCCUUGCGUACCACAGUGAGGGAACUUUGUUCGAACAGCCUGAUCUUGACAGAGUGCUAGAGGAAGGGGAUGCUUUGUAUGUUGGCAUUAAAAUGCAGCUUAUUGCUGAAGGAAGAUUCCGACAGGAUCUUCUAAGCAUGGGUGAAGUACCUGUGAGCAUCUCAACUUCUAACCACAACUACAGUGUCCAAAAGUCAGAAGUGUUGAUGGGAUAUCUGAGAGACAGAGGAACUCCUGAAAUGGACGCGUGGUGGAUUCCUCUUGACGAAAGACUUCAGUGUCUCUCAACAGAUGUCAGCCAUGCACUGCUUAUUGUUUCUCCAGAGUGCUUUGCUGUGUUCAGAGACAGUUCUGGAAGAUAUGGAUUUUUUGAUUCACAUUCCAGAACUGCUGAAGGUUUGCCACAUCCUACUGGUGACGGAACCGCAGUUAUGCUAACUUUCACCAACUUGCAUGACAUGACCAACAGAUUACUUGAGCUUUUUUGGAAUCGUGGUCCUCAGGCUUGCUAUGAGUUCAUGGCUGUUUCAUUUGAAAUGGAGCAACAGGCUGAGGAACCAUGCUCAUCAGCAGCAUGUGUGUCACCAUCAGAAGUAACUUCAUCUCUGCCAAAAACACAAACAAAUGCUGAUGUCAGAAUCCCUGAAAAUGUUGUUCUGACAGAUGACAAAAACAAAAGUGUCAUAAAGCUUUUGAAAACAAACAAGCAGCGAAGAAGAAAAGAAAUGCGUAAAAUUGUUUAUGAAAAGCAAGAUGCAGGACUAGAGGCUACAUCUUCACAUUUUGAAGUACGAAAACAAAAAAGAAGAGAAUAUGAGAGAGAGAAAUAUGCCACCAAUUUGCAGUUUCGGAUGAAGAAAAAGGAGAUUACCAAAAAGAAGUAUGAUCAAGAUCCUUUUGCCAGACACAAAAAGAUGGAAUACAUUACCAGGAGGUACAACACAGAUGUUCUCUUUCAAAAAAAGCAGAAGGGGUACAUAAUUAAGCGGUACCACACUGAUGCUCUUUUCCAAAGGAAAAUGAAGAACUACAUGGUCACGAGGUACAAGACAGAUGCUCUUUUCCAGAACAAAAUGAAGGACUACAUGUUCAGGAAGUACAAGAUUGAUGAUCUUUUCCAGAAGAAGAAGAAGGACUACAUGUUCAGGAGGUACAAGACCGAUGAUCUUUUCCAGAAGAAGAAGAAGGACUACAUGGUCAGGAGGUACAACACUGAAGAUCUUUUCCAGAAGAAGAAGAAGGACUACUUGGUCAGGAGGUACCACACUGAUGAUCUUUUCCAGAAGAAGAUGAAGGACUACUUGGCCAGAAGAUAUGCAAGUGAUUCAAAGUUUAGGUCACAUCACAUUCUACGUUGUACUCUCCAGAAGAAACAAAAGUGUCUCACCGAUCCUGGAUUCCAGAUUCUUCACAAGUUGAGAUGUGCAUUAAGGAUCAAGAGAAAAUACAAGCCAUACAUUUGUUCCAGCCAGGAUACACCCAAUUCUGAUGUGACAAACCAGCCUGUGUCCAACAGCUUAAUACAAAAGGCCAUAUCUGCAUUUCGGUGUCAAAUUCUGCAUGGUCCAACUUACAUCUGCACAGUCUGUCACAGGACCCUUUUUCCAAAUCAAGUCAAGAUGUGUAAUAGAACACGAUAUGUCAAAAAUGUUCAUAUUACAGCUUCUUGCUUAACCGGGAAAUAUGUUCAUGCUUGUGACAGUGCCUGCUCAGUUUCUUGUGCAGUUCCAGAAGAGCGAAGACAGGAGUGGAUCUGCCACACCUGUGACAAUCAUCUGAAAAGAGGAUCCAUGCCUUCUAUUGCAGCGGCAAACAGACUUGAAUUGCCUCCCAUCCCUGCAGAACUGCUUGAACUGAAUGUACUUGAACGACAGCUUAUCGCCAAAAUUGUUCCUUUUGCAAAAAUAGUUGCAUUGCCCAAAGGACAGCAAAGAUCAGUGUAUGGUGCUGUUGUGUGUGUGCCCUCUGAGGUGGAGAAAACAGUCAACUGCCUGCCAAGGCCUAACAGUGAGUCCCAGCUACUACAGGUGAAGCUGAAAAGACACAUCAAGUUCAGAGGAUACCAACACUUCCAUACAGUGAAUAUGCACAAUGUGCUACUGUUAUGUUGCCAAAUGAACACGUAG
Long non-coding RNA from Cyprinus carpio (common carp), 2358 nucleotides. The record is from Ensembl. Lineage: Eukaryota; Metazoa; Chordata; Actinopteri; Cypriniformes; Cyprinidae.